RNAcentral lists this ribosomal RNA (447 nucleotides) under uncultured bacterium. Its description in RNAcentral is "bacterial SSU rRNA". It matches the Rfam family "Bacterial small subunit ribosomal RNA", at positions 329 to 793 of the family's 1533-position model. The record is from RNAcentral.
CACCAGACUCCUACGGGAGGCAGCAGUGGGGGAUGUUGCACAAUGGGGGAAACCCUGAUGCAGCGACGCCGCGUGGGUGAAGAAGCGCCUCGGCGCGUAAAGCCCUGUCAGCAGGGAAGAAAAUGACGGUACCUGAAGAAGAAGCCCCGGCUAACUACGUGCCAGCAGCCGCGGUAAUACGUAGGGGGCAAGCGUUAUCCGGAUUUACUGGGUGUAAAGGGGGCGCAGACGGCAAUGCAAGCCAGGAGUGAAAGCCCGGGGCCCAACCCCGGGACUGCUCUUGGAACUGCAUGGCUGGAGUACAGGAGGGGCAGGCGGAAUUCCUAGUGUAGCGGUGAAAUGCGUAGAUAUUAGGAGGAACACCGGUGGCGAAGGCGGCCUGCUGGACUGUGACUGACGUUGAGGCCCGAAGGCGUGGGGAGCAAACAGGAUUAGAUACCCCAGUAA